RNAcentral lists this ribosomal RNA (442 nucleotides) under uncultured bacterium. Its description in RNAcentral is "bacterial SSU rRNA". It matches the Rfam family "Bacterial small subunit ribosomal RNA", at positions 958 to 1397 of the family's 1533-position model. The record is from RNAcentral.
AACGCGAAGAACCUUACCUGGGCUCGAACGGCUUAAGAUCAUCCUUGGAAACAGGGACUUCUCGCAAGAGACUUGAGUCGAGGUGCUGCAUGGCUGUCGUCAGCUCGUGUCGUGAGAUGUUGGGUUAAGUCCCGCAACGAGCGCAACCCUUGUCCUUAGUUGCCAUCAUUAAGUUGGGAACUCUAAGGAGACCGCCGGUGACAAACCGGAGGAAGGUGGGGAUGACGUCAAGUCAUCAUGGCCUUUAUGGCCAGGGCUACACACGUGCUACAAUGGCAGGUACAGAGGGAAGCCGAACGCGCGAGCGGGAGCCAAUCCCAGAAAGCCUGUCGUAGUCCGGAUCGGAGUCUGCAACUCGACUCCGUGAAGUCGGAAUCGCUAGUAAUCGCAGAUCAGCAUUGCUGCGGUGAAUACGUUCCCGGGCCUUGUACACACCGCGAGC